This 327-nucleotide unclassified non-coding RNA is filed under the name uncultured fungus. RNAcentral's name for it is "sequence contains ITS1". The stretch from base 1 to 101 matches the Rfam family "5.8S ribosomal RNA", at positions 50 to 154 of the family's 154-position model. The record is from RNAcentral. Lineage: Eukaryota; Fungi.
AAAGUGCGACAAGUGUCAUGACUUGCAGAUACCCGAGAGCUGACAAAUUUCUGAAUGCAAAUUGCAGCCAAGUUAACCUGGCUAUACAUUGCAGAGAGUACUUCGCGUAUGCGCUUACUCCAGAGUUGAGCACAACCUUUGGUUGUCACUACUGGGACCUGCAAGCUUGAGCCAUGUUUGACAUUUGCCCAAAAGGCAAGUGACCGGGCUCUCACUUGUUAAAGUCAGAAAACCAUCGAGUUUUCCUGAACUUAUCUGAGAAAAAGAGUUUAACCUCUUACCUCUCAUCUCUCACCUCUGCAAUGUAGGAGAACCCGCUGAACUUAA